RNAcentral lists this ribosomal RNA (462 nucleotides) under uncultured Chytridiomycota. RNAcentral describes it as "eukaryotic LSU rRNA". The stretch from base 117 to 260 matches the Rfam family "5.8S ribosomal RNA". Lineage: Eukaryota; Fungi; Chytridiomycota. The record is from RNAcentral.
GGAUCAUUAAAAAUUAUCGUGUUCUUUGGAACAUUUGUGCUCGGGACUUCUUCGGGAGUCCUGACGAUCACCCGUAUAUGUGUUUGACUGUGAAUUUUAUUGAAAAAGAAAUAGACAACUUUUAACAAUGGAUCUCUUGGCUCUUGCAACGAUGAAGAACGCAGUAAAGUGCGAUACGUAGUGCGAUUUGCAUGAAUCCGUGAGUCAUCUAAUCUUUGAACGCAACUUGCGCCCCUUGGGGCAUGUCUGUUUGAGAACCGCAUCUUUUCUAACCAGAAAUGGUUGAACUGCACUAUAACAUUUAGGUGUUUUGUGUUAAAUCAAGAAAGAAAAAGCUUGUCUACCGAAGGCGCCCUAAUGUGCUAGAGACUUUUGUCUUGUCAUUAGUGCCUUGGGUGGCAGUUAAACCUACAUUUUGGUCUCAAAUCAGGCAAGACUACCCGCUGAACUUAAGCAUAUCAA